AUGAACGCUGGCGGCGUGCCUAAUACAUGCAAGUCGAGCGAACGGACGAGAAGCUUGCUUCUCUGAUGUUAGCGGCGGACGGGUGAGUAACACGUGGAUAACCUACCUAUAAGACUGGGAUAACUUCGGGAAACCGGAGCUAAUACCGGAUAAUAUUUUGAACCGCAUGGUUCAAAAGUGAAAGACGGUCUUGCUGUCACUUAUAGAUGGAUUCGCGCUGCAUUAGCUAGUUGGUAAGGUAACGGCUUACCAAGGCAACGAUGCAUAGCCGACCUGAGAGGGUGGUCGGCCACACUGGAACUGAGACACGGUCCAGACUCCUACGGGAGGCAGCAGUAGCGAAUCGUCCGCAAUGGGCGAAAGCCUGACGGAGCAACGCCGCGUGAGUGAUGAAGGUCUUCGGAUCGUAAAACUCUGUUAUUAGGGAAGAACAUAUGUGUAAGUAACUGUGCACAUCUUGACGGUACCUAAUCAGAAAGCCACGGCUAACUACGUG
RNAcentral lists this ribosomal RNA (496 nucleotides) under uncultured bacterium. Its description in RNAcentral is "partial 16S ribosomal RNA". It matches the Rfam family "Bacterial small subunit ribosomal RNA", at positions 29 to 507 of the family's 1533-position model. The record is from RNAcentral.